RNAcentral lists this ribosomal RNA (253 nucleotides) under uncultured Blautia sp. Its description in RNAcentral is "partial 16S ribosomal RNA". It matches the Rfam family "Bacterial small subunit ribosomal RNA", at positions 524 to 776 of the family's 1533-position model. The record is from RNAcentral. Lineage: Bacteria; Bacillati; Bacillota; Clostridia; Lachnospirales; Lachnospiraceae.
UACGUAGGGGGCAAGCGUUAUCCGGAUUUACUGGGUGUAAAGGGAGCGUAGACGGCCAUGCAAGUCUGAUGUGAAAACCCGGGGCUCAACCCCGGGACUGCAUUGGAAACUGUGCGGCUGGAGUGUCGGAGAGGCAAGUGGAAUUCCUAGUGUAGCGGUGAAAUGCGUAGAUAUUAGGAGGAACACCAGUGGCGAAGGCGACUUUCUGGACAGUAACUGACGUUGAGGCACGAAAGUGUGGGGAGCAAACAGG